Molecule: ribosomal RNA, 253 nt
Filed under: uncultured bacterium
Lineage: Bacteria
Description: partial 16S ribosomal RNA
Rfam family: Bacterial small subunit ribosomal RNA
Source: RNAcentral
UACGGAAGGGGCUAGCGUUGUUCGGAAUUACUGGGCGUAAAGCGCGCGUAGGCGGCUUUGUAAGUUAGAGGUGAAAGCCUGGAGCUCAACUCCAGAACUGCCUUUAAGACUGCAUCGCUAGAAUCGUGGAGAGGUGAGUGGAAUUCCGAGUGUAGAGGUGAAAUUCGUAGAUAUUCGGAAGAACACCAGUGGCGAAGGCGACUCACUGGACACGUAUUGACGCUGAGGUGCGAAAGCGUGGGGAGCAAACAGG